RNAcentral lists this ribosomal RNA (345 nucleotides) under uncultured Oscillospiraceae bacterium. Its description in RNAcentral is "partial 16S ribosomal RNA". The record is from RNAcentral. Lineage: Bacteria; Bacillati; Bacillota; Clostridia; Eubacteriales; Oscillospiraceae.
GGAGUCUGGGCCGUAUCUCAGUCCCAAUGUGGCCGUUCAACCUCUCAGUUCGGCUACUGAUCGUCGCCUUGGUAGGCCUUUACCCCACCAACUAGCUAAUCAGACGCAAGGCCAUCUAUCAGCGGAUUGCUCCUUUUCUAGCUGUAUCAUGCGAUACUACUAGCUUAUGCGGUAUUAGCAAUGAUUUCUCACUGUUAUUCCCCUCUGAUAGGCAGGUUCCUUACGUGUUACUCACCAGUCCGCCACUAAAGCCAUUGUUAAAAACUUCAAUCAGAUAAAUCGUCAAUUCAUUUCUAACGACUUCCGUUCGACUUGCAUGUCUUAUGUGCGCCGCCAGCGUUUAUC